RNAcentral lists this ribosomal RNA (254 nucleotides) under uncultured bacterium. RNAcentral describes it as "partial 16S ribosomal RNA". It matches the Rfam family "Bacterial small subunit ribosomal RNA", at positions 524 to 776 of the family's 1533-position model. The record is from RNAcentral.
UACGUAGGGCGCAAGCGUUGUCCGGAAUUAUUGGGCGUAAAGAGCUCGUAGGCGGCCUGUUGCGUCCGCUGUGAAAUCCCGGGGCUCAACCCCGGGCGUGCAGUGGAUACGGGCUGGCUGUAGGCAGGCAGGGGAGAACGGAAUUCCUGGUGUAGCGGUGAAAUGCGCAGAUAUCGGGAGGAACACCGGUGGCGAAGGCGGUUCUCUGGGCCUGUUCUUGACGCUGAGGCGCGAAAGCUAGGGGAGCAAACGGG